This 281-nucleotide long non-coding RNA is filed under the name Manihot esculenta (cassava). RNAcentral describes it as "long non-coding RNA (MESC_LNC000209)". The record is from RNAcentral. Lineage: Eukaryota; Viridiplantae; Streptophyta; Magnoliopsida; Malpighiales; Euphorbiaceae.
CCCAAAAUGAUAAUUUAAUUAAUUCAUCAUGAAGGUUAAGACAAUAUUUCAAUAUUAAAUAAUCUUUAUAUCAAAAUAUGACUUAGAAGAUUGGUUACUAAUAUGUUCUAGUCUAUUUCAUCUACUUAUAAUUCUUCCUUUUCUUGUUUCUCUUGUAUAAUUCUCUAAUACAUUUCCUCGUAAACUCUUUUUAGACGAACUCCUGUCACUACAAAAAAACUGUGAAAUUGCGACCAAAAUUAGCGAUCAAAUUUUUUGGUCGCUAUAUAGCUACCAAUCAG